Molecule: ribosomal RNA, 433 nt
Filed under: uncultured bacterium
Lineage: Bacteria
Description: partial 16S ribosomal RNA
Rfam family: Bacterial small subunit ribosomal RNA
Source: RNAcentral
AACGAACGCUGGCGGCAUGCCUAACACAUGCCAGUCGAACGAGACCUUCGUGUCUUGUGGCGCUCGGGUGCGUAACGCGUGGUAACCUGCCCUUAGGUUCGGUAUAACUCCCCGUAAGGUGUCCUAAUACCGGUUAAUGUCUUCCGACCAAAGGUUUCUCGCCUUUGGAUGGGCCCGCGUUGGUUUCGCGAGUUGGUAGGGGAAAAGCCUACUAACGCGACGUUCCAUAUCUGGUCUGGGACGAUGAUCAGCCACACUGGUACUAAGACACGGCCCAGACUGCGAGGGGAGGGAGCAGUGGGGAAUAAUGGAAAAUGGGCGAAAGCCUGAUACAGCAAGGCCGCGUGAGAGAGGAAGGCCGUAGGGUUGUAAAGCUGUUUUACACGGGAUGAUAAUGACAGUACCGGGAGAAUAAGCACCGGCUAACUCCGUG